UCCGUAGGCGGGCGACUAAGUCAGAGGUGAAAUCCAACAGCUUAACUGUGGAACUGCCUUUGAUACUGGUUGUCUUGAGUUAUAGUGAAGUAGAUAGAAUAUGUAGUGUAGCGGUGAAAUGCUUAGAUAUUACAUAGAAUACCGAUUGCGAAGGCAGUCUACUAACUAUAUACUGACGCUAAUGGACGAAAGCGUGGGGAGCGAACAGGAUUAGAUACCCUGGUAGUCC
This 229-nucleotide ribosomal RNA is filed under the name uncultured bacterium. RNAcentral's name for it is "partial 16S ribosomal RNA". It matches the Rfam family "Bacterial small subunit ribosomal RNA", at positions 568 to 796 of the family's 1533-position model. The record is from RNAcentral.